This 301-nucleotide ribosomal RNA is filed under the name uncultured bacterium. RNAcentral's name for it is "partial 16S ribosomal RNA". It matches the Rfam family "Bacterial small subunit ribosomal RNA", at positions 509 to 808 of the family's 1533-position model. The record is from RNAcentral.
CAGCCGCCGCGGUAAUACGUAGGUGGCAAGCGUUGUUCGGAAUUAUGGGCGUAAAGGGCUCGCAGGCGGUUUCUUAAGUCUGAUGUGAAAGCCCCCGGCUCAACCGGGGAGGGUCAUUGGAAACUGGGAAACUUGAGUGCAGAAGAGGAGAGUGGAAUUCCACGUGUAGCGGUGAAAUGCGUAGAGAUGUGGAGGAACACCAGUGGCGAAGGCGACUCUCUGGUCUGUAACUGACGCUGAGGAGCGAAAGCGUGGGGAGUGAACAGGAUUAGAGACCCGUGUAGUCCCUGUCUCUUAUACC